AACUAGCAUAUCAAUAGCGGAGGAAAGAAACCAACAGGGAUUGCCCUAGUAACGGCGAGUGAAGCGGCAACAGCUCAAAUUGAAAUCUGGCCCUCGGGUCCGAGUUGUAAUUUGUAGAGGAUGCUUUUGGCGCGGUGCCUUUCCGAGUUCUCUGGAACGAGACGCUUAGAGGGUGAGAGCCCCGUACGGUUGGACACCAAGCCUCUGUAAAGCUCCUUCGACGAGUCGAGUAGUUUGGGAAUGCUGCUCUAAAUGGGAGGUAAAUUUCUUCUAAAGCUAAAUAUUGGCCAGAGACCGAUAGCGCACAAGUAGAGUGAUCGAAAGAUGAAAAGCACUUUGAAAAGAGGGUUAAAUAGCACGUGAAAUUGUUGAAAGGGAAGCGUUUGCGACCAGACUUUUCACCUGGCGGAUCAUCCGGUGUUCUCACCGGUGCACUUCGCCAUGGUUUAGGCCAGCAUCGGUUUCUGUAGGGGGACAAAAGCUCUGGGAACGUAGCUCCCUCGGGAGUGUUAUAGCCCUCUGCAUAAUACCCUUACGGGGACCGAGGACCGCGCUUUUUGCAAGGAUGCUGGCGUAAUGGUCGUCAACGACCCGUCUUGAAACACGGACCAAGGAGUCGAACAUUUGUGCGAGUGUUUGGGUGUUAAACCCUCACGCGUAAUGAAGGUGAACGUAGGUGAGAGCCCUUACGGGUGCAUCAUCGACCGAUCCUGAUGUCUUCGGAUGGAUUUGAGUAAGAGCAUAACUGUUCGGACCCGAAAGAUGGUGAACUAUGCGUGGAUAGGGUGAAGCCAGAGGAAACUCUGGUGGAGGCUCGCAGCGGUUCUGACGUGCAAAUCGAUCGUCAAAUCUGCGCAUGGGGGCGAAAGACUAUCGAACCAUCAGCGU
Molecule: ribosomal RNA, 888 nt
Rfam family: Eukaryotic large subunit ribosomal RNA